Molecule: ribosomal RNA, 2035 nt
Filed under: human gut metagenome
Description: bacterial LSU rRNA
Rfam family: Bacterial large subunit ribosomal RNA
Source: RNAcentral
GCAAGAUACCACGGGCGCACGGCGGAUGCCUUGGCACAGGGAGCCGAUGAAGGACGCGGCAAGCUGCGAUAAUCCCCGGCGAGGAGCACACAUCCUUCGACCCGGGGGUCUCCGAAUGGGCGAACCCAUGCACAGCGGUGUGCAUAUCCCCGGCCCGAACACAUAGGGCCGGGGAGGACAACCCGGGGAACUGAAACAUCUAAGUACCCGGAGGAGAGGAAAUCAAUCUCGAGACUCCCCGAGUAGCGGCGAGCGAAAGGGGACCGAUGGCCAAACCGUCGAGCGGGCAUACCCGGCAGGGGUUCCGCCGACGGGGUUGCAGGGCCGCGCAUCCGGGGGCUGCCGCCCCCGGGCGCAGGUCCGGCUGGGGAGCGGAACGGCAUGGGAGGGCCGGCCGCAGCGGGUGACAGCCCCGUACGCGAACCCAGACCGGACGGCGCGACGCGGUCCCUGAGUAGGGCCGGGCACGUGAAACCCGGUCCGAACCUGGGUGGACCACCAUCCAAGCCUGAGUACUACCCUGUGACCGAUAGCGCACCAGUACCGUGAGGGAAAGGUGAAAAGCACCCCGGGAGGGGAGUGAAACAGUACCUGAAACCGUGCGCCCACGAGCAGUCGGAGCAACUUUAUGUUGUGACGGCGUGCCUUUUGUAGAAUGAGCCAGCGAGUCGCUGGCGCGGGGCGAGGUUAACCGAAAGGGAGCCGGAGCGAAAGCGAGCCUUAACAGGGCGACUUGAGUCCCGCGCCGCGGACGCGAAGCCGGGUGAGCUAUCCGUGGGCAGGCUGAAGCGGGGGUAAGACCCCGUGGAGGGCCGAACGCACGUCGGUUGAAAACGGCGGCGAUGACCUGCGGAUAGGGGUGAAAGGCCAAUCAAACCCGGAGAUAUCUCGUUCUCCCCGAAAUAGCUUUAGGGCUAGCGUCGCGCGUUCACCGCCGGAGGUAGAGCACCGGAUGGACGAGGGGGCUUCGCCGCCUACCGAAUCCAACCGAACUCCGAAUGCCGGCGGCCCAGAGCGCGGCAGUCAGAGCAUGUGGGCUAAGCUGUGUGCUCGAGAGGGAAACAGCCCGGACCGCCCGCUAAGGUCCCCAAGUUCCAGCCGAGUGGCAAAGGAUGUGCGUCCGCCCAGACAACCAGGAUGUUGGCUUAGAAGCAGCCAUCCAUUCAAAGAGUGCGUAACAGCUCACUGGUCGAGUGGACAUGCGCCGACAAUACACGGGGCUAAGCUGGACACCGAAGCGGCGGGAUUUUAAUUCAUUAGAAUCGGUAGGGGAGCUUCCCAUGGGCGGAGAAGCCGGAGGGCGACCGACGGUGGAGCGCAUGGGAGUGAGAAUGCUGGCAUGAGUAGCGAGAGACGAGAGAGUAACUCGUCCGCCGUGAACCCGAGGUUUCCUGGGCAAGGCUAAUCCUCCCAGGGUCAGUCGGGGGCUAAGGCGAGGCCGGGAGGCGUAGCCGACGCGCAGCAGGCAGACAUUCCUGCACCGCGCACGCGGCGCUACGACCGACGGGGCGACGGAUGGGGGUGGCUCGGCGGGGUUCUGGACGUCCCCGUGAUGGAGCGCGGCCCGCGGACCAGGGAAAUCCGGUCCGCAUUGAGGGCGAGGCUCCGGACGAAGCGACUGAGCGAAGCGAGUGAGCCCGAGGUCCCUAGAAAAACCCCUAGGCAGGCGCGUGCGCGCCCGUACCGCAAACCGACACAGGUGGGUGGGUAGAACAUACCGAGGCGAUCGGGUCAACCAUGGUCAAGGAACUCGGCACAAUGGCCCCGUAACUUCGGGAGAAGGGGUGCCCGCGCGUACGUGAACCGGCUUGCCCGGGGAGCGGAGGCGGGCCGCAGUGGAGAGGCCCAAGCGACUGUUUACCAAAAACACAGGACUCUGCAGAAGCCGCAAGGCGACGUAUAGGGUCUGACGCCUGCCCGGUGCCGGAAGGUCACGCGGAGGAGUUAGCCAUUUCGGCGAAGCCCCGAAGCCAAGCCCCGGUAAACGGCGGCCGUAACUAUAACGGUCCUAAGGUAGCGAAAUUCCUUGUCGGGU